CGGGGUGUAGCGCAGCCUGGUAGCGCACCUGCUUUGGGAGCAGGUGGUCGUCCGUUCGAAUCGGACCACCCCGACCA
Molecule: transfer RNA, 77 nt
Filed under: Polyangiaceae bacterium
Lineage: Bacteria; Pseudomonadati; Myxococcota; Polyangiales; Polyangiaceae
Description: tRNA-Pro
Rfam family: tRNA
About the family: Transfer RNA (tRNA) molecules are approximately 80 nucleotides in length. Their secondary structure includes four short double-helical elements and three loops (D, anti-codon, and T loops).
Source: RNAcentral